UACGUAGGGUGCGAGCGUUAAUCGGAAUUACUGGGCGUAAAGCGUGCGCAGGCGGUUGGUUAAGUCUGAUGUGAAAGCCCCGGGCUCAACCUGGGAAUGGCAUUGGAAACUGGCUGGCUAGAGUGUGGCAGAGGGGGGUGGAAUUCCAGGUGUAGCAGUGAAAUGCGUAGAGAUCUGGAGGAACACCGAUGGCGAAGGCAGCCCCCUGGGCUAACACUGACGCUCAUGCACGAAAGCGUGGGGAGCAAACAGG
This 253-nucleotide ribosomal RNA is filed under the name uncultured bacterium. RNAcentral describes it as "partial 16S ribosomal RNA". It matches the Rfam family "Bacterial small subunit ribosomal RNA", at positions 524 to 776 of the family's 1533-position model. The record is from RNAcentral.